UGCAGAAAACACUAUGGAUUCCGAUCUUGUUUUAUUGUAGAUCGAAGGCAUCAUUCAUUACUUAGGAUCCUACUUUAUGAUCUUUAAGUAUUUUACAGUCAUAAGCAGUGUACAUUAUUACAACUUACAGCAUUUAAGGAAGAAGAUAUUUGUAUUUUGUACUAUAUUCAAAAAACUUGUUUAGCAGAUAAACCCCAGUCAAACUCUGUAACUGAGGCUAACUGCUACAAGCUAACAUUGUGAAAACUAUUUACAAUAACAGUUUCAAACAGCAUUAUUGUUGCAAAGACUGUGGACUUUUCAUUCAUUUUUUUUUUUCAGUGACUUUUUCAACACAUUAUUUUUUAUUUGUAUUUGAUCAGAUAUGGUGCUAUAUUUGUGGACUUUCACAUAGUGACUUUAUGCCAAUACUGACUACUUGAUCCAUUUU
Pelobates cultripes (western spadefoot toad) is the source of this 430-nucleotide non-coding RNA. The record is from the annotation of a GenBank genome assembly. Lineage: Eukaryota; Metazoa; Chordata; Amphibia; Anura; Pelobatidae.